This is a long non-coding RNA of Papaver somniferum (opium poppy), 702 nucleotides long. RefSeq lists it as uncharacterized. The transcript has 4 exons. NCBI's taxonomy places the organism in Eukaryota, Viridiplantae, Streptophyta, Magnoliopsida, Ranunculales, Papaveraceae. The record is from RefSeq and is a predicted model, not a curated record.
ACGAUUUAAUCCAAAACGGAUUUUAUCGAUGGCAAAAAUACCCAUCUCAUAAUUCCGUUUCUACUUCUUCGUAUUCUGUGUGUCAAUACAUCUCUCAAAUCCAAUCCAGCAACCAACUAAAUCCGAGAAUCGAGCAAACAGUAGGUUCAGUUCAUGUCAAAUUCAAUAACCUAAAUCACCUUCAUUAGCAGGAUGUAGGGAUACCAACAUCAGCAUCAGUUUAUGAAAACGAAUUCAGAAACGAAAGAAAAUGUUGAGGAGAAUCAAUUGAUCAAACCAAAUUGAAGAUUUCAUAAGCGAUUGAAAGGGCAAUGAAAUAGAUGUCUACCCUUGCAGCGUGGGAUUACUCCAAGAAAGAAACUAUUGAAAUGGAGCUGGAGAAAAUUGAGGACUUCAUAAUUGGAGCUUUGUCAUGAAAGGUCGUCCUUCUUGUACUUUUCGAGGGAGCUUAAGGUAGAGAAGAAAAAUGGACAGGUUUUGGAUAUUAAUGAGGUGCACCUUGUCUUGUCUUUGGAUUUUCUGGAUUUUUGUAAAUGUGUACAUGUUUGUACACUAGUGUAAACUAAGAUUUUUGAAAAAUGAAAAUUAUAUAGUCAUAUGGGUACUCUUUUUGUAGCUCUCGGAAAGGGAUUUCCGAAUAUAUAUAAAAUUUGUGAAUUUUGGAUAAAAGGUUCGAAAGAUAAAUUAUUUUUUAAUUAUUUU